AGAUCAUUUUAACAUUUGCUGGAAUCAAAGUUUUAAAUCUGUUCUUAUCACUUUAAGAACUGAUACUUCCUCUAUCUCAGGACUAGCUAUUAAACUGAUUUUUUGGAAUAGGGAGAUGGAAUAUUGAGCUUCCUCCAGCCACUGCACACAGCGCCCUGUUAAUGUGGCACUGAACCUCCAUGAACGGUGGACCUCCC
Molecule: small nuclear RNA, 197 nt
Organism: Gopherus flavomarginatus (Mexican gopher tortoise)
Lineage: Eukaryota; Metazoa; Chordata; Testudines; Testudinidae
Product: U2 spliceosomal RNA
Exons: 1
Source: RefSeq, a predicted model, not a curated record